CAGCCCCUCGAGUGGUGGGGAUGAUUAUUUGGCCUAAAGCAUCCGUAGCCGGCCGUGUAAGUCCCCCGUUAAAUCCAGCGUCUCAAGCGUUGGACUGCGGGAGAUACUGCUCGGCUAGAGAGUGGGAGAGGUGUGCGGUAUUCUGGGGGUAGGGGCGAAAUCCUUUGAUCCCCGGAGGACCACCAGUGGCGAAGGCUGCACACUAGAACACGUCUGACGGUCAGGGACGAAAGCUGGGGUAGCGAACCGGAUUAGAUACCCGAGUAGUCC
This 270-nucleotide ribosomal RNA is filed under the name uncultured archaeon. Its description in RNAcentral is "partial 16S ribosomal RNA". It matches the Rfam family "Archaeal small subunit ribosomal RNA", at positions 477 to 747 of the family's 1478-position model. The record is from RNAcentral.